GUGGCUCUUGGCUUCCACCCAGCCCUGAUGCCAUCCUCGGAGACUGAACUAUCUGCAGGGAAACAUCUGGGGCCAGAGCAGAGGAGUGAGACAGCACAGAGCACCCAAUCUUCAAGCUUCAAGGCAGCACUGCCGCUCGCUCGGGAACAAGGAAGUCUCUGUCUUUCCCACGUGCCUCUGCCUUGCUAAAUAUAGACCCAUCUCAGUUUUUAUUAUGCUCCCUCUAGCUGAGUCACAGUCUUCGUUUGUUUAAUUCAGAGGCAAUGAGCACCCCGAGCUGCCCUAACCCUGGGAAGCAGGCAGUCCCAGCUGGCCCCCAGCCAGCUGUCCUCCAUGGGAAGUGGCCCAGCCCACCCCGCAGCACUCCUGCAUCCCAGGAGUUUCUGGGCAUCUCCGUAAAGAUUCAACGACCAUGCAGUUUCAGGAGAUCCACUAGCAGAAUUCACUGUGCAUUUAAGAGGAACUGAGCCAGCUGAUUGCUCGAGAGGCCCUGAGGAGCGUGGCCCUCCGUCUCCACUUGAAUGGAAAAGGCUGCAGCAAAACGGCAGCAGAGGGUCCUUGGAUGUCACCAUGCUGCCCUCAGAGCAGAAGCAACAUUGGCUCUCCCCGGAUGGCGGAAUUCUCGGGACCACCCCAGAAGACCAGGAAUGAGCUCAGAAAACCAAGCCAGCAGAUGAGACUGAACACUGGAGUGGAGUUCGUGGGAGGCUCCGGUGUGGGCGCCAAAGCAGAGUUUACUGAAAGCCCUCGCAGCCAGGGAACGCUCUCUCACUGUUUACUCUGAAGGACUUGCAGAGAAACCUUGAGGAUUACUCAGCAGUGUCUAUCGUCUGCUGUCCACGAUGAUGGCGAUGCCAGAGUUACUAUUUGCAGAUCCCAGCUAAUAACAUCAGUGAGAAUCGCACAGCGCCUGUGAAUCAGAAGGAAGAGGUGAUAACAGCGUCUUUAUGACAUGCAGUCACGCGAUAAGAUGCAGACGUAAUGAGAACUCUUUUUCUUCUGGAAAAGAUUAAAGACAUAAAAUCCUGGCUUGGGAAAAAAA
Cavia porcellus (domestic guinea pig) is the source of this 1042-nucleotide long non-coding RNA. RefSeq lists it as uncharacterized. The record is from RefSeq and is a predicted model, not a curated record. The transcript has 2 exons. Lineage: Eukaryota; Metazoa; Chordata; Mammalia; Rodentia; Caviidae.